Phrynosoma platyrhinos (Desert horned lizard) is the source of this 72-nucleotide non-coding RNA. The record is from the annotation of a GenBank genome assembly. Lineage: Eukaryota; Metazoa; Chordata; Lepidosauria; Squamata; Phrynosomatidae.
GCCAGUGUGGUGUAAUGGUUUGAGCACUGGACUGUGACUCUAGAGACCAGGGUUUGAAUCCCUGCUCAACCA